Long non-coding RNA from Hibiscus syriacus, 456 nucleotides. RefSeq lists it as uncharacterized. The transcript is spliced from 3 exons. NCBI's taxonomy places the organism in Eukaryota, Viridiplantae, Streptophyta, Magnoliopsida, Malvales, Malvaceae. The record is from RefSeq and is a predicted model, not a curated record.
UUCGGAGGUAACGGUGUUUGGGUGGAUCAUUGCUCGUUGUCGAACUGCAACGAAGGGCUGAUCAACCCCAUUCACGGCUCCACCGCCAUCACCAUUUCGAAUAACUACUUGACACAUCAUAAAAAGGUCAUGCUAUUGGAACAUAGUGACACUUAUAAACCAGAUAAGAACAUGCAAGUCACCAUUGCCUUUAAUCACUUCGGAGAAGGGCUUGUACAAAGAAUGCCAAGAUGUAGGCAUGGAUAUUUCCACGUGGUGAACAAUGAUUAUACGCAUUGAGAAAUGUAUGCAAUCGGAGGCAGUGCCGAUCCUAUAAUCAACCGCCAAGGCAAUAGAUUCCUUGCACCAAAUGAUGCAGACAACAAAGAGGUGACAAAACAUGAGGAUGCACCACAAAGCCAAUGGAAGCAUUGGAAUUGGAGAUCGGAAGGGGAUCGAUGUUGAACGGAGCGUUCU